RNAcentral lists this ribosomal RNA (412 nucleotides) under Bemisia tabaci. RNAcentral describes it as "partial 16S ribosomal RNA". Lineage: Eukaryota; Metazoa; Arthropoda; Insecta; Hemiptera; Aleyrodidae. The record is from RNAcentral.
AAAAAAAUUUUAGAUAAAUUCUGCUCAAUGAGUAAGUUAAAUAGCUGCAGUAAAUUAACUGUACUAAGGUAGCAUAAUAAGUUGCUUUAUAAUUAAAAGCUUGAAUGAAAGAAAUAAUGUGAAAGAAGCUUUUUAAACUAAAAUAGUGAAAAUUAAUAUUUAAGUGAAAAAUCUUAAAUAGAAUCAAAAGACAAGAAGACCCUUUAGAACUUUACAAAUUGAUUUAAUAUCAUUUAGUUAAUUUGUUAAAUUGGGGAGAUUUUUAAAUAAAUAAAUCUUUAGAUAUAAAAAAAUGAUUUAAAUCAGAUUAAAUUAUCCAAAUGUGAAAUAAAACAAGUUACCUAAGGGAUAACAGCGCAAAAUUUUUGAGAAGUUCUCAUUUACAAAAUAAAUUGCGACCUCGAUGUUGGAU